Passer domesticus (house sparrow) is the source of this 3545-nucleotide long non-coding RNA. RefSeq lists it as uncharacterized. The transcript has 13 exons. NCBI's taxonomy places the organism in Eukaryota, Metazoa, Chordata, Aves, Passeriformes, Passeridae. The record is from RefSeq and is a predicted model, not a curated record.
AGGAUGCACUAGCUCAGACUUGCCUGAUCUGUUUCCACCUAUGUCCUUUCACAGUCUCUUUUUCUGAGCCAUUUGGGAAGCUUCCUUAUCUGCACAUUGCUCUGUAAGGGUUACUUAUCAUUUGAAAUCUCCCAGGGAAAACAGCACUGUGUAGAAAGAACAAGGAACAACCAAUUAAAGUUCAGGUUUAAACUGGCACAACAAAGAUGACCAAUAUCUCUGAUGUCCCUCCCUGGAUUUGGAAUCUGGAUGAUUUUAGAGAGAAUACCAAGAAGGUGAAGGAGAACAACUAGGAAUGAAGCACUGGGAAAUAUGGGAUCAGAGAUCGAGCUAAGGGAGGAGCUGGGGAGAAAAAGCAUCCCAGAAAUGACUGUGUGGAGCCCAUAAAGAUGCAGCUGAGUGCCAGAUCAGGCGAUGGAAGGGCAGAGUGGGAACGGGGGAGGGAACGGGAAGUUUUGGCAUGUGUUGAGAUAAGCCUCUAUGGGAUGGGUAGGACAGGAUGUGAAUAGAAGAGGAAGAUGUUUUGGUAGCUUCUGUUGCUGUGUGGAGUUCAGCAUCAUUUCUGGCAGCAAGCUGGAAAGCAUUUAAAUGCUAAGCUUUCAACUAAAAAUUCUCAUUAAGUAGAGGUCCAGUAACCCCCUCUGAAGGUUAAAGCAAAAACACCAAACAAGGCAGCAUUUCCCCCACUGUUUUUUAUGUAAGUGCAGCUAAUGGAACUGAACUUGGAGGGAAUACUAACUUGAACUUUUUUGUUUUCUUUCCUUGAACAGGAACUCAGCACAAGCUGGUUUUUAAUUUGAAGUUUUACUACUUUGGAACAGCUUUAGUCACUGCUGAACCCAAAUGAGAAUAAAACUGAAUAACUAACAUAUUUGACUGUCUAAGUAGAUGUAAAAAUUCAGGAUCAGUUUGUAACAGUUGUGUUUUCUGCAUUUUUUGUUUUGAUCCCACUUUUCAUUCAUCCUGCCCAGAUUUCUUCCAGGCUCCUGCUUUGGAUCAGGUGAUGCUGUAGAUUGCAGAAGACCUUCUGGUGGGAUGAGUUGGAGAGAAUUCUUGUUGGGGUUUAGACUGUGUGAAUGGCAUUCCUCAGAGUCCUCUUUUUUGAUACUGCUCAAUUGCUGCUUCCAUCCUCACAACAAGCUUCAAGAAGGGUGCAGAGGAAUGACCUACCUGCCUCCCAGACACUAGGGAGAACAUCUCUCCAUGUUGUGCUGUGCUGCAAAGUCAGCUGUCCUCACUGCCUAACUCUCAGAUGAGCACUGCUGGGACAAGCCACUUGGAAAAACAGCUUGGAUCCUUCUUUUAGUUCACUGAUGUCUCCCUAUGUCUGGAAUGCCAACACCCUCGUGGUCUCCAGAGGCUGAACCCCCCUUCGCCAGAGAUCUGCUGUCCAAACCAGCACGCUGUGUUAUGCCAACCCAGUGCCUUGUCAGCAUGGCAGACAGCUGUAGUCAGAAUACAAGGCUUUUGUGUUCCAACCAGCCCCUCAUCUCUCAGGUUUUAUUCCACUUCUUUGAGCAGUGGACACAUUCCUGCCAGUCUCAGUGUUUUAAUUUAAUUUGGGCACAGACUAUAUAAAAUUGAACAUGUGUCUGAAAGCAGUGAAGAGAAGACCAUAAAAUGAACCAAGUGCUCAGCUCCAUUUGAACCGAGCAAUGUUGUAUUAUUUUUUUUGUCCCCAUUGCCACUAAAGUCUCGUGUGACUUGGAGGUGUGUGGCAAGAGGAUCCAACAUGGGGAGAGGAGGUAUUUUUCACAGAGAUCUAAAAGUGGAAAACAUUUUUGUUAAAAGCAGUGACAUCAAUGAAGUAAAUGAAGUGAAAUUAAACAUAAAGGCAAGAUGAAAAUUGUAGCAGUUUGGCUUCAAGAAUCAUUUUUAAUAUCCAGAGGAGAAUAACUCCUGAAUGACUUCAACGGGAGGAGAGGAAAACACAGAACCAAGUCUCAAAGCUGGUGUGGCCAGCAGCAAUUAAAGUGACUACAGGAAAGGAAAGGUCCAUCCCACAAUCCCAUGAAGUUAUCAGUGCCUGUGACUACAGCCAACAGUCUGACAUUUGGAGCACAGGUGUCAUUAUGUACAUGCUAUCAUUAAGGAUACAGUCAGUGUAAAAGCAAGCAGAUGACACAGAAAGAUUAAAUUGAACAUACAGAAAGCUUGGGAGAAAAGCUUUUAAACUAAUAACAAGGGAAGACCUCUGCUUUGAAAAAUUUGGUCUGCGAGACGAUUACCAAGGCUGAUCAGAAGAAAGUCAAGCCUGUUGAGGAGAAAAAAGUUCUCCACUUGUCUGAAGUUUCCUGCAUCCUGAGUUUCAACAGAAGUAGAAAUUAAUUUUAGUGUAUAAAUUCACAUGAAAGUGGAAAUGCGUGACAUCAUAUACCCCAAAAAGGUCCUUGUUGCCUGACUAGACCUCUGUGUGUAGUACAGUGUUAUAAAUACUCAGUUGUCAUGAGAAAGAAUUGGCCUCACAGGAGCAUUUAAACCAUUUUAAAAUGCCUCAAGGCAAAUCCUGGCCUGGAUGAGCUUGCAGUUACACCAAGGACUCCUGUGAAAUGCUCACAGUUUACAAGGGGUGAGGAUCUGAGGAUCUGUCCUCUACAGUUUAAAGACAGGGUGGAUCACCACAUGAGAAGAAUUUCAGGAUUUACUUCUCUAACCAAUCACUGAGUUCCUGGGUUUGCUCUUGCACAUUUUAGGCAACAGACUGUUUUUCUUUAGAGAAUGUGUUCAGCAGGAAAAAAGUAAUGUGUUCCAAUGUGCAGGGAUAAUCAAGGAAAGAUCAAGGCAUCGCCCAGCAAGCUUAAAAGGAACUGGAGCCUAAAAGUCAUUAAACCUCAUGGUUUUGCCUAGCUAGGCUUAACACUAUGGGCUCUGAGGAGCAGGAAUUGUAAUUUUCUAAGGCUUUGCAGAGCACUUGUUGCAAUCUGAGCUGGCUUGAGCCUAAGGCACUGAUGCAAUGUAAGCACUGAGGUCAGUAAAAUCAUAGUAACAGUCAUGGUGGUUUAAAAUGCUCUGGCUCAAUUAUGGCAGUAAAUCCAAGUCUAGAGAUAGCAGCUCUUCAUUUAUGGGCACACAGGUAUGUCAUAAUUGUCUGCAAUAAAGUAUGAUGGAAAUGAAGAUGGCAACACUUUACCUCCUGCUUUGUGGAGCAAACUGGUGAAUUUUUUUUUCAUUUAUACCUAUUGUGUGGUUUCUGUGCUGUUUCUAACACGGGUUCUGGUUUUGUAUAUUUAGAAGUUUCAGUAAUCAAUACCUGGUAUGUUCUGGUUCAUUACAGCCACAGGGGUUAAUGAAUGACUAUUGUUUAUACAUUGUCUGAUGUUAAAGCUUAAUCCAUAUUUGAGUCUGAUGCCAGCUUUGUUUCCAGGAAGAAAGAACUGAGAUAAUGGCUAGGCAUAUUUUAAAAGAGAAUAGGGUUUUUAUAAUGGUUAUGGAUCAUUUUUAUACUUUGGUUAUCUAGAGUAUGUUGGACCUGUAUUCUUCAGGAUUGCCCAAAUCUGAUUACUUUUUUCCUCUUGCUUUAAUAAAAAGAAGAAUAAGUGCAUGAA